Molecule: long non-coding RNA, 2453 nt
Filed under: Triticum aestivum (bread wheat)
Lineage: Eukaryota; Viridiplantae; Streptophyta; Magnoliopsida; Poales; Poaceae
Description: long non-coding RNA (TAES_LNC023907)
Source: RNAcentral
CAUAUUGUACCUAAUCUGAAAAAAAUAUUAAAUGACAGGAUUACAAGGUGUGGAGGCCGGCUCUCUCGGUUCACUCAAGAGUACCUUUGUUCUGCUGUAGCUCAAAACGUAAGAUGCCAGAGCCACGACGCGAGUGCGUCUGCUUCCCGUUAGGAGGUAAGGCGGCGGAUGUUAUAUAUGCCCACUCUACCAUUUUCUUUAUCUAACAUGUAGAGUUAAACCACUGGUUUCAUAUGUCCUUUAUUCUUAUUACUUUUAGUCUCCAAAUGAUAUAGGAGAUUCUGUUGGUGCUCUAUUAACAUGAUUGGAUUUUGUAUUUUUUUUCUUAUUAAAUAAUAUUGCUCCUGCACCGUGACACAUAGUCGGAGGGUGAUCCAUUCUAUUGUAUAUGUGGACUCCUUAUUGCCAAUGUGGUCAGGAAAUAAUAUCAUCUUUAAAAAUAUCAUUGUAGUAUGAGAUGGGUUCCUGAAGCAGUACCAUAUGUAGCCCUAGAGUUUGAGAUGUGGUUGACUGAGCCGACAGUUAUAGUUCACUGUGUCCAAAAGUUCCAUUUCUUCGCCUUUUUGGAGAAUGAUGCAAAUAAUGUGUUUGUUUUGAACUUCUUUCAACUACAUAUUGCUUGCUAUUUGGUGUUUAGUUUGUAGUGUUACUUUUCUGCACCAGUUGCUUUGCUUCUUGCACUAAUUUUUAUUGUCUUUUUUCUGCACUGAUUGCUUGCUCCUUGCUUUUUUUACUUUGUAGUGUUUCUUUUCUACUGAACCGUGAAAUUAGCGUGUAUGAUUUCUAGAAGCUAUCUCUCUUUUAUGCACUAACUGACUUUGUGUUAGCAUUUGGUUUCGAAAAAUGUCAUUGUACAACCUGACCAAUUCUUGGUGCUAAUUGUUUCAUCCUCUCGUAUUUUAAGUUUGCGAAUUUAAGGCUCUACCAUCAUACAAAGGCAAACAUUCAUGGGGAUUUGGAUUAAGUGCACCUCCUUUUCAUUAUUCUAAUUAAUGAGUGCUCACAGAAAAGGAUACGGUGCUAAGAUUUGCCAUAAUAGAUUCUUGACUUGCCAUAAAUUCAAAUAAGGAUUGAAUAUAUUUGUAGUUAAACCAUUCUUGCUCAGGUUUCAGAUUUCUCAAUCCAUUUUUCUGUGCAAAUAUCAAUUCUUGACAGGUUAUUCAGUAAUCUCGCACAUGUUCGUUUUCUCUAUAUAUCAUCAGUAUUAAAGUUCAUACAUGAUACGUUAUAUUCUCGGCUUUAGAACAUUAAAGUUCGUACAAGAUACCUUAUCAUCAGUAGUAAAGUUCAUACCAUGUUCUCCUGCUUAGUCUAAAUCAGAUAGGGACUUUAAACAUAAUCAGUUUAGAUAAUGACAGGCAUCCUAAAGUACAUGUAAAACCAUGGUAUCCUCAAGCCAUGGUUGGGGAAGGAUAAAAUUAGAAAAGGAGAAGAGGGUCCUAACAUGUUUAGUACCAUCUUAUGGGUUGUUUUGAGGCCACAGAUCUGCAGCAUACUAACAUCUGUCCUGCUAACUUCCCUACUUUUCUUUUAAUUUGUGCUCUGAAUAUGAUCAUGUGACCUGCUUUCUUCAGUUCAUUUGCUUCAGAUCAUGUGGCCUGCUUUCUUUUCUUCUCCAUACAAGCUACAUGUUACUGUUACAUACAUGUGGGAGCAAAUUAAAUCUGUCCAUUGAAUUGUAGUCAUACUUUUCUUAAAUGGAUUUAUUUCAAGGCCUGUUAUGUAUUGUUCACGUCUUCUGCCUUUCAAGUGUGUUGGUAGCACACCCUUAGUUAUUAACCAACACAUGUAUUGUUCAUGUCUUCUGCAUUGUUCAUUGAGCACAAAGGUAUCACUAUUUAGGUAAAUUAUAUGAUGGGUUAUAGGACUGUAUGAACUGCUAACCAAUUUAUCCUUUUAACAGAACAUGGUUUGAUGAAAGGAGGGUGAUGGAUGCGCCAUGGGGCAAGUCACCUGGAUUGUGUCGUGUUGGGAGGGUGAUGGAUGUGCCAUGGGGCAAGUCCGUCUGAUGAAUGGUGUGGACGGAAGAGCGACAAUAACUAUGGGGUUGGUCAAAGGUUGAAAGAAAUCUCUUAUGUGUCUUCGGUCUCGACACCACGUGUAGGUAGCCAUCAUUGAUAAUACAAACUUUGAAAAGUUUGUUUCAAGGUUCAUAACUCUGUUGUCAAUGGGGAAAAUGUUAUCUGUUUCAAGUGACAAAACAAACUACUCAUAGCAGGUUCAUGUGAUGUGGCGUAUAAAAGGUCGAACGUCAAGACGAUCAGGUGUAUGUAUCCAAAAAUAUGCUUUUGUGGAACUAUAUAGGUUCUUUGUCUCACACUGCUGUUGUGACUUUCUUUUCCUGUAUGAAAAGUACACUAUCUAUAUCAAACUUGAUGUGGAUUGAUCGACCUUGCUCGCUUUUGGCACAAGUAUAUAUUUCCAUUUCCUAUGAACUUCCAGAUGAAUUGUUC